Xylariaceae sp. FL1651 is the source of this 143-nucleotide non-coding RNA. The record is from the annotation of a GenBank genome assembly. NCBI's taxonomy places the organism in Eukaryota, Fungi, Ascomycota, Sordariomycetes, Xylariales, Xylariaceae.
GCCUCUAUGGCGUAGUGGUAGCGCGUCGCACUGUAUGUCUCACCUACUUCUUCUAAAUUGUAAGCAAUUGUUCGCUAACAUCAUUACAGUGUAGCCAUUACAAGAUCAUGCGAAGGUCUCUCGUUCGAUCCGGGAUGGAGGCA